ACCCUCUGCCCUUAGCGGCUCUAAAGAUGAAAGGCCAUGGGGGUUCCUCGCCCUAGAGCCCAAGAGAGAGAGAGAACCCCCGGGGCCGCAAGAGGACGGACGGACAGACCAGCACCCCGGCGCUGAGGACCGAGCAAACCCCUCGGAGCAGGAGCCCAGCUGAGGAGGCGGGACCACACGCGACGGGCGCGCGGUCCGAUUGGCCGAGCGCCACUGAACCUGCUCGGUCCUUUGAUUGGUGUGAGCGGCGACGCGCCCUCUCGAAUGCCUCGCUCGGAUUGGCCUGCUUCUCGGCCCAGACCUGGACGGUGGCCAGAGGAGGACAAGAGACUUCUGUGCGGGAUGGAGGGACGACUCGGGAGGACGUCUGAGCUGCAGGUCUACAAGCGGCUGGGACCCAGGGGCGUGGCGGCCACCUCUGUGAUGUCUGUGCUGCAGGUGGCGCCUGAGCGGACCGGCGGCAGCGUGGCCCGAGCCCGAGAUCCAAAAGGUAACUCUAGCUCUUGAAUACUAUCUGGGAACAACUUGUCAUGCCUGCUUUGUGGAAUUGGUGUUCAAAAAUGAAAUGCAAAAAUGCAGACUGGCCAAGCACAUACUGGUUAUUGGUACUCCAGGGAGAACAGGAGAUGUUAAAUAGAGGAUAUCUUUGUUGUGCUGCUUUCUGCCUGAUGCCAGUCAAUCUGUUGCAAGUCAUCAGUUCAUGAGAUCCAUUUCAAAUUCUGGUGAAGAAGGAAGAAUUGACCCUUGAAAGGUUCAACAUUUUAUAAUAAUUUUGAAAGAGGGCAGGAGAUGUCCUCACAGACCCUGUACAGGCCCUGUCCUACUCAGACACACCACAGGCUGUGUUCUAAAACUGCUGAGUGUUCAUGCAAGGCCUGAGCUGAGAGGGAUGGGCUGGAAUCCUGACCUCCUUCCUGCCAGCCACAGGAUCUGGGCAAGUGACCCACCUUCUCUACACCACAGGCCAUUCCUGCCUGGAAGGGUGCAGUGAGGACUGACUGCAAUAACAAUUACGUGCAUGAAGGGCCGAGCUCGGCAAUCCUCGGGCUGGGUAGACGCCAUCACCCUCAUGCCACCUCGGCUGCAGAAAGUGCCUCUCACUGGUGAGCUGGCAGAGGCACCUUCAUGCUGCACCCCAUCAUCAUGGCUGCAGAAGGACCUGCUGUGUCACGUCUCUGUUAAUACAGCAUCGCCCCUUCACAUAAUGCACCAUCUCUGGCUGCCUCCUCCUGUGCUGCCAGCCAACCACUUCACCCAUAGUCCUUCUGGCUGGGCUUUCCUCCCCACACCUGCUCCUUGGUGGUCUCGUCCGCGGCCUUUAUCCCUGACUUAUUUUUCUAUAGAUUCUGAGCUCCACGCGUGAAUGUCUUCACUUACAUGUGUCACACAAGCCCUAAGCUUGACACAUCUGAAAUGCAUGAACCAAACACGUGUUUGUGAAACGCUGACUGGAUGGAACUUGACUGUCCCAAAGGCCAGAAUCCUCUUCUUCUCACCAGCGGGCCCAGCCCAGGGCGUUGCGUGUCAGUAACAGUUGGCACUGUGUCGCUGUGUAAAUUGUCUGCGGAUCUGUUCCCUAUUCUCUUGAGAGGCCUCAGACCUCGAGGGGGGAGCCCACGUCCACUCAUCUCCAGUUCCCACGAAGGAUCCCCCACAGGCUCUGCACAGAGUGGAUCCGCAUGUAUUGACCGUUGGUUGAGUUGAAUGUGCUGAACGCUCCCCACAUCCAUCACAUAUUCAAACUUUCUUUCCAGGAAGCCCCGUCCGCAGGACAAUGGCCCCAGUGUGCUCCUCCCUGAUGCCAACAGGCCCCAGAGCCGACACUGAGGCAUUCGCUCCCCCACAGUCUUGCCUCUGCUCCUGUGGUUUGGCACAUUCCACAUCCUCCCUCCAUUCCAGGGCUUGGCCGCUGGAUGAAGACACACGAGGUACACCUGGAACGGGAAGAUGCCGGGAGCCCAGGACACAGAGGCACUCACCGCAGGCCAUUCUCAGAACCCACUGUCUCCUUUUCUCUUCUCCUCUGCACGGGGCAGGGGCCUGCUGCACCCAUCAUCUCCUCCAUCACACACAGGGCCUCUCUAUGUGCCCAUCUAACCUCAGCAGGGGCCCCACACGGACAGGGGCAGCCUCAGAGAGGCAGGUCCUGGAGGCUGGGACCCUCCUUGGUCCAGUAGAGCUGUGCUGUGGAUGGGGUGGCCUCGCUGGGGGAGGGGUGGGGAGAGAGGACUGGGGUGGAGUGAGGUGGCACAGGUCUCCCUCCAGGCUGCAAAUGCCCAGACAGCCCCAGUGGCAGUGGCCUGGGCCCACUGCCUGACAGUGGUUCUGCCAGCAUUUCUCUCCCCUCCCCACCUGCAGAUCAGACACACACCUCACACUCCCAGGGCCGUCAGGGUUCUGGGAAAGUUUCCGGGGGCUGCCUCUAACUCCAUCUCCUGCCUCCUACUCAGGAGGGCACGUCCAACUUGAGUGAAUGAUGACAUCUGUGUAGGGACAAUCUUGAAUGUUGUCUGACUAAUGCUUAUAUUUUAAAAGACAAUUGGGCCCGGCCAGCAUGGCUCGGUGGUUGAGCGUU
Molecule: RNA transcript, 2575 nt
Organism: Myotis brandtii (Brandt's bat)
Lineage: Eukaryota; Metazoa; Chordata; Mammalia; Chiroptera; Vespertilionidae
Exons: 4
Source: RefSeq, a predicted model, not a curated record